Molecule: long non-coding RNA, 1242 nt
Organism: Drosophila biarmipes
Lineage: Eukaryota; Metazoa; Arthropoda; Insecta; Diptera; Drosophilidae
Exons: 2
Source: RefSeq, a predicted model, not a curated record
GGGGAUCGCCCUCAGAUGGUUUCCCGGAACUAUAGAUGUUCCCAAUUCACCUCGCCAACUGACAACCCACUGCCUGAUAACUGAUAACCGCUGAUCAUCGAUCUGCAUGCUAAAUUUCAGCCGUGCGGCCGCUUAUCAAUCCGCAAACCAGCUGAUAAGACAAGAGAACGAGAGCGGAGAGCGGACAGCGGAGACCGAAGAGAGUCGAGCUGAGCCAGGGCAUUGCGUCAAGUGCGCUAAUCGCUGGCUCCGAAUCGAAACCAGGGCUACAGCCACCGACCGAGCCGGGCAACAACAAUUGCCGUUAACAAUUGUCGGAGCGACAGCACACUGCGCAAAUUGCACGUCGCGCAGUGUACGGCGGGGCAGCAACAACAACAGCACGGCACAGCGGCUAUCAAGGCGUACGUACGUACAAAUGUACGUAUGUACGUACGAACAUUCACCAAGCCGCUUGGUAAACACAAAAUUACAAAAAAAAAAGAGAAAAAUACCAUGGAAAAAACUGUCGGUAUAUAUGCAUACAUAUGUACAUCCACAUGUACAUCCAAUGUUGCUGACUCGACUCACCGCUUACAUACAGACGCUCGCUCGUCUAUAUGUAGAGAGUGAGCGAGCGAGAGCGAGACAGCAGAGCCGAACGACCGACACACGAAGUACAGUCGCACAGUUAAAAAUAAAGUGUGGGCCGCUGCAACGGGCAGGGAAGCAGAGAGGUGCGGUACAGGCAGGCAGGCAGCAGAGAAGAGAAGAGAAAAGAGCGUGCCGUGCGAGGGUAAAACAACAAAGCGAAUGCUGGUAAAUAAUGAUGAUGGAACCAGUGUGCUGUGCGAGUGUAUGUAUUCCGUUCGGAUGUGCCUCGGUGUGUGUAUACUGCACAGUAAAAUUUCAUGUAUUAAAAUCGUUUGUUCGUGUAUAUGCAUGUACACUGUACAGGGUAAGAGCUGCCAUCGCUGUCUCUCUGCCCGCUGUUGUUGCUGCUUUUGCUGUGCUGUGGCGCUGUUGUUGCUGCUUUUGCUGUGCUGUGCUGUGCUGUUGAUAGCGAGGGACGUAAUAUCGCAACUUUUGCCGUUCCAAAAGCACGGAGCCAAGCGAACGUUCGUCGUUCGUUCGAGUUUAAUUUUGUAGUACGUAGCAGGAAAAAAAAGAAACGACGAAAAAUAAAUGAUGGCGGCAACAACAACGACGACGACGGCAACGACGACUGACUUGGCAGUGUUGCGUUCCGAUUUUUGUUGAAAA